UACGUAGGGACCAAGCGUUGUUCGGAUUUACUGGGCGUAAAGGGCGCGUAGGCGGCUUGUCAAGUCACUUGUGAAAUCUCUGGGCUUAACCCAGAACGGCCAAGUGAAACUGACAUGCUAGAGUGUGGUAGGGGAGACUGGAAUUCCUGGUGUAGCGGUGAAAUGCGCAGAUAUCAGGAGGAACACCGAUGGCGAAGGCAGGUCUCUGGGCCACUACUGACGCUGAGAAGCGAAAGCAUGGGGAGCGAACAGG
This 253-nucleotide ribosomal RNA is filed under the name uncultured bacterium. RNAcentral describes it as "partial 16S ribosomal RNA". It matches the Rfam family "Bacterial small subunit ribosomal RNA", at positions 524 to 776 of the family's 1533-position model. The record is from RNAcentral.